This 468-nucleotide ribosomal RNA is filed under the name uncultured bacterium. Its description in RNAcentral is "partial 16S ribosomal RNA". It matches the Rfam family "Bacterial small subunit ribosomal RNA", at positions 28 to 507 of the family's 1533-position model. The record is from RNAcentral.
GACGAACGCUGGCGGCGUGCUUAACACAUGCAAGUCGAACGGAAAGGCCCUGCUUUUGUGGGGUGCUCGAGUGGCGAACGGGUGAGUAACACGUGAGUAACCUGCCCUUGACUUUGGGAUAACUUCAGGAAACUGGGGCUAAUACCGGAUAGGAGCUCCUGCUGCAUGGUGGGGGUUGGAAAGUUUCGGCGGUUGGGGAUGGACUCGCGGCUUAUCAGCUUGCUGGUGGGGUAGUGGCUUACCAAGGCUUUGACGGGUCGCCGGCCUGGGAGGGUGACCGGCCACAUUGGGCCUGAGAUACGGCCCAGACUCCUACGGGAGGCAGCAGUGGGGAAUAUUGCACAAUGGGCGGAAGCCUGAUGCAGCAACGCCGGGUUCGGGAUGACGGCCUUCUGGUUGUAAACCGCUUUCGCCUGUGACGAAGCGUGAGUGACGGUAAUGGGUAAAGAAGCACCGGCUAACUACGUG